Molecule: ribosomal RNA, 325 nt
Filed under: uncultured bacterium
Lineage: Bacteria
Description: bacterial SSU rRNA
Rfam family: Bacterial small subunit ribosomal RNA
Source: RNAcentral
GAUGAACGCUGGCGGCGUGCCUAAUACAUGCAAGUCGAGCGAGAAAUUAAUCAGACGCGUUUUCGGACAAGUCAGAUUAAUGGAAAGCGGCGGACGGGUGAGUAACGCGUAGGCAACCUGCCCUUAGCAGAGGGAUAGCCAUUGGAAACGAUGAUUAAAACCUCAUAACGCUGUAGUAACACAUGUUACAUCAGCCAAAGAUUUAUCGGCUAGGGAUGGGCCUGCGUCUGAUUAACUAGUUGGUGGGGUAACGGCUCACCAAGGUGACGAUCAGUAGCCGACCUGAGAGGGUGAUCGGCCACAUUGGAACUGAGACACGGCCCAG